This 714-nucleotide ribosomal RNA is filed under the name Triticum aestivum (bread wheat). RNAcentral's name for it is "partial small subunit ribosomal RNA". Lineage: Eukaryota; Viridiplantae; Streptophyta; Magnoliopsida; Poales; Poaceae. The record is from RNAcentral.
AUGAAGAGCAUGUACGCUGCCCUCCGCAAGGUGGGCGAAGUGCCACGUGACCAACUCGACGAGCAGGUCAAGCUCUGGGCGGGGGAGGUGAGGGAGCUCUCCUUCAACAUGGAGGAUGUCGUUGACAAGUUUCUGGUGCGUGUCGAUGACGGCUCUGAGCCUGUGGCCAACUCGAACAAGAUCAAACGGCUCACCAAGAAGAUGACCGGCUUGUUCACCAAGGGGAAGACUCACCAUGAGAUCGCAAACGCCAUCAAGGACAUCAAUAAGCAAGUCCAAGACGUUGCUAGCAGGCGUGUGCGGUACAAUGUCGACAAUAUUGUUGCUAUGCCUGCAGCGGUGACUCCCAUCGAUCCUCGCCUUCGGGCUCUGUACACCGAAGUGACAGAGCUUGUUGGCAUUGCUGGGAAAAGGGAUCAAGAGCUAAUGAAGUUGCUUUCACAAGGAGACGACGAGUCCAAGAAAAAAUUGAAGAUUGUCACUGUUGUCGGAUUUGGAGGAUUAGGCAAGACCACUCUUGUCAAAACGGUUUAUGACAAGAUUAAAGGAGAAUUUGAUUGCCGAGCUUUUGUUUCUGUUGGUCGAAAUGCUAGUGCAAAAAAGGUUUUGAUAGAUAUCCUUCUUGCUCUUGACAUGUACGAAAGCCAUUUCACCAUAUUGGGUGAAACACAACUCAUCGACAAACUCCGGGAACGUCUCGAGAACAAGAGGUAA